UCGUAUUAUUGAUUUCAAGAUUUAUUUUUUUAGAAUUUUAUAUAUAGUUGGCAACCAUGCAUAAAUAUAUAAUAUCCUUUUUUUUUAUAUGGGAGUGGAGAAAUUAUUUAGGAAGAAAGAAAAAGAGAAAGAAAAAAAAAGGAUGGGGGGAGGAUGGCUACCUAAUGGCAGCGAAGGAGAGGGGGAGAAAAAAAAAAGAAAGAAGAAGAAGGGCUACUGCCCAAUCAGAAAGAGGAGGGAAGUGAGGGACCAACCAGAGAAGAGAGCAAGGAGGGAAUGGAGGGAGGAAGAGAGGAAGGGGAUCGGCCGGAUCCCACUUGACCCGUGCUAACCAGGUUCGAAACCGGUGAAAUUCCGGCGGUUGUGAGCCAUUUUUCAUGCAAAUUUCAUUCCAUUUCCACUAGCAAUCAUCACUAUACCUCUUCCCCUCCAUUUUCCUAUUAAUAUUCAAUGGAAAUUGGGUUAAAUCCGUGACAUUUGGCAAUGGUGACACCGGCGGGUCUUGUGUCAAUUCUCCCAUUUCUGAAGCAAUUCCUUCUAAUUGCCACCAUCAAUACACUCUCCUAGAACCCAGGAACAAAGCCCAAGCAGUGGUGGAGUCGUCAGAGCAAGUUUGGAGGUCGAAUCGAAUCACACCCAAUUUUAGGGUUCGUGCGGUUUUAGCAAAAUUGGAGCCUUUCUAGGAAAAAUUGGACUUGGCCACAGGUAUAAAAAUUUCUCUACUCAUUGAGAUCUUCAUUUCUGUAAAUUUUGGUAAUUUUUAAAAAUGGUUGAAUUUUUCCUGCAAGUCGGGGCGGCCGACCGCCACCCGCAGCGGCGCGUUUGGCCGCGGCUUGGCCAGUGGGCCGACAGUAUCCUUUUAAGUUCAAUUAGAUACCCUGUUUUCAUAAUUGAUAUCCUUAUGAUAUGGUUUGAUUGUGUGAACCUAAUUUCAUUAUGAUAUGUGGUUAGGUCAAAAUAUGAUUCGACGAUCCGACCGUUGGAUCGUCACCAAACCUUAAUACGUGAUAAAACAUAAUAUUUUUGGAUCAUAGAAACUUACGGAUCAGGAAUCCGACGUAUGGAUCUUUCCGAAUUAGAUUUGUAACUUCGUAAAAUAAAAUGUCCACCACCACUUGAAUUUUGAAAUUGGCAUAGAUCCGACCAUCAUAUCGCGUUGAGAUUUUAGUAUGUUGUUAUUUGAGCAUAAUGUGGACUUUGGAAAGUUACGGAUUGGAAAUCCGAGGUGCGGAUCUUUCGAAUCAAAUUACGUAAGUUUGUGGACCCUACUGUUGAUCGAGAGUUGACUUUUAGGCAACAUGUCAUGAAACGUCCUAAUUAAUAAAAUUAGUACUACGGAAUAUUAAGUGAAGUCUAGUGAGGCUACAUUGGUUAGAGCAUGACUUGUGUAUAUGUGAUAUAGCUAUUACCUUGAUUCUUAUAUUAGUAUCAUAUGUGAUUAUGUCUUGGUCUUAUAAAGGUAAUUUCUAGUGAAAUGUGAUUUUUAUAUAUUUAGCCGUAGACAUAUGUUUAUUUACAUGAUUUGGCUUGGUACUGAUGAUGGUUGUGACAUAUGUGAGUGACUUUAAUAUAGGUGAUAUUGGUGAUUACCUAUGUUUUCAUAAUUAUGAUCCUGUGUGGAUAUGAAUUGGUUUUAUGAAUAUGUUUUCUAUUGAAUUGUUAUUUCCAAUACUUAGACAUCGAUUUAUGUUUAUGAAAUGGGGUUUGGCAUGUAUAUUUGAAAUAUGGUUUGACUUGUAUGAUUGGCAUGUUGUGAUGAAAGGUAAGGACUAGUAAUGGACCGUUAACCAUUGUGAUGGAGAUUUGUUGCUUCGAUAUUGUUUCAUUUCCUGCUUUGUUGAUUAGUUCUAAAUUUAGUAUUUGUGCUUAAUUUCCCUUUGUUGAGCUUUUGUGAAUUAAGUAAUUUGUGCUUGUCUUAUUUCUUUGAGCCGUCGUACAUUAUGGUUGUUGGCCUUUCGCGAUUCUGUUGAGUGAUGGUCCCGGAUCGUAUUCACCUUGUGUUUUAUUGAGUUUGGAUUAAGAUAGCUUCAGAGAUGUAGGCUUCGGCCGAACUGUGUCGCUCUAGCUCGGCAUUCCAAUGAAUUGUAUGUGUUAUUGAUGAUAUGGUGAUUGGCAUUAUUGAUUGAUGUGAUAAUUGGAUGGUGUUGGAAUGCAUAUGUGAGGAUGAAUGACGUUAUGACUAGAGAUUAUUAUUGUGCUUAUUUAAAUGUUCCUUGAGGUGCCGCAUAAUUGAAUUGUGGUGUUAUGUUGAGACCUAGUGGUCUAUGUGAUGAAUGUUCGAGAAUAGUGAAAUGUUGAACUACGAAUGGCUUGAUCCCUAAUGAGGGUACGUAGGCAGUCUAACGAAGAGGUUAGAUGCAGCCAUAAAGUAUACGAAAAAUUAUUGUACAUCUGGAUCUUGAAUGAUACUUUGUAUAUAUUCAGGAGGCGGAGUAUGUUAGAUAUACGGGUUUGGUGUCGUCACGUGUCGAUCCUGGACGUAUGUCUGGAUCGGGGCGUGACACCGUAGACCAAAACGACGCAACAAAAUCCACUGCCUGAUUCCCUGAUCUUGGAACCCAAGACCAGUUGCAAAGGGGUAAUGAAUAACUGAUAUCCAUUAUCCGAGACAAAGCAGAUUCCUUUACACCAAAUUUUCUUGGAAGAAUAUGUGAAAACACAUAAAACAUAAUUUUCUUAUCCCUAUUGUUGUAGUGUGGCUACCUCCACCGUGAAUCAUGCACUGGAGUCUUUUUUGUCUUUUUGGCGUGAAUUAAUUUCAAUGUGUGUUUUAUUAAUGUUUUUGGAUAAAUAAAUUUUAAAUGUAAAGUAAUGCAUUUGAUAUUUU
Molecule: long non-coding RNA, 2827 nt
Filed under: Malus domestica (apple)
Lineage: Eukaryota; Viridiplantae; Streptophyta; Magnoliopsida; Rosales; Rosaceae
Description: long non-coding RNA (MDOM_LNC006423)
Source: RNAcentral